Long non-coding RNA from Mustela erminea (ermine), 378 nucleotides. RefSeq lists it as uncharacterized. The transcript has 3 exons. NCBI's taxonomy places the organism in Eukaryota, Metazoa, Chordata, Mammalia, Carnivora, Mustelidae. The record is from RefSeq and is a predicted model, not a curated record.
UUCAUCCUCAACUGCUUACUUUAGUGCCAGAAAUUCUACCAUUAGGAAUGUAUUUCUGUGCACAAUGCCUAGAGGGAUGCUCAUUAAAUCAGUGAUAUCCAAGAGAGAAGCUGUCCUCCUCCUCUGACAGCUACAUGCUAAGGAAAAGAAAGGUCCUGAUAAGCUUUCAGAUUUCUGUGUUCUCUUCCUUCUUUCUGUCCAUGUUCCAGAGCCCAAAGGAGUUGCAAAUAUAUCGACAAAUCUCUACUAUUUCUAGUGAGGUUGCCUUCUGCUUUUUGGACUCCUAAUUGUCCUAAGUUACAUGAAAAUUCAUCAGCUUCUCAGCAGAGAAGGUCAGUGGUUUGAUCAGAGUCUCAGAGUGACCUGUGACUACCCACA